RNAcentral lists this ribosomal RNA (440 nucleotides) under uncultured bacterium. Its description in RNAcentral is "partial 16S ribosomal RNA". It matches the Rfam family "Bacterial small subunit ribosomal RNA", at positions 338 to 795 of the family's 1533-position model. The record is from RNAcentral.
CCUACGGGAGACAGCAGUGGGGAAUAUUGCACAAUGGGGGAAACCCUGAUGCAGCAACGCCGCGUGAGUGAAGAAGUAUUUCGGUAUGUAAAGCUCUAUCAGCAGGGAAGAAGAUGACGGUACUUGUAUACGAAGCCCCGGCUAACUACGUGCCAGCAGCCGCGGGAAUACGGAGGGGGCAAGCGUUAAGCGGAUUUACGGGGGGUAAAGGGAGCGCAGACGGCAGUGCAAGUCUGGAGUGAAAGCCAGGGGCCCAACCCCGGAACUGCUCUGGAAACUGGGCGGCUAGAGUACUGGAGAGGCAGGCGGAAUUCCUGGUGUAGCGGUGAAAUGCGUAGAUAUUAGGAGGAACACCAGUGGCGAAGGCGGCCUGCUGGACAGUAACUGACGUUGAGGCGCGAAAGCGUGGGGAGCAAACAGGAUUAGAUACCCGAGUAGUC